RNAcentral lists this ribosomal RNA (545 nucleotides) under uncultured archaeon. Its description in RNAcentral is "bacterial SSU rRNA". It matches the Rfam family "Archaeal small subunit ribosomal RNA", at positions 332 to 879 of the family's 1478-position model. The record is from RNAcentral.
GCAGCAGGCGCGAAAACUUUGCAAUACACGAAAGUGUGACAGGGUUAUCCCGAGUGCCGACCGCUGAGGUUGGCUUUUACCCAGUCUAGAAAGCUGGGGGAAUAAGGAGAGGGCAAGUCUGGUGUCAGCCGCCGCGGUAAUACCAGCUCUCCGAGUGGUGUGGACGUUUAUUGGGCCUAAAGCAUCCGUAGCUGGCUGAACAAGUCCCCUGUUAAACCCACCGAUUUAAUCGUUGGCGUGCGGGGGAUACUGCUCAGCUAGGGGACGAGAGAGGCAGACGGUAUUCCCGGGGUAGGGGUGAAAUCCUAUAAUCCCGAGAAGACCACCAGUGGCGAAGGCUGUCUGCUAGAACGCGCCCGACGGUGAGGGAUGAAAGCUGGGGGAGCGAACCGGAUUAGAUACCCGGGUAGUCCCAGCUGUAAACGGUGCAGACUAGGUGUUUGGACGGCCACGUGCCGUUCUAGUGCCGCAGGGAAGCUGUUAAGUCUGCCGCCUGGGGAGUACGAUCGCAAGAUUGAAACUUAAAGGAAUUGGCGGGGGAGCAC